CAUGGGCAUGUCCGUGAAUGUAAAGUCCACUGGGAAUGUGGCAGCGCUUCGUGCGUUCUUUGGGUCAGAGAGGGUGAAAACCCCGUUUACAUUCAUUGUGGGGCGUGUCUGUUGUGUGGGCGUGUUGAAGAGUCAGAUUGUUUGGGAAUGCAAUCCAAAACGG
This 163-nucleotide ribosomal RNA is filed under the name Catenaria anguillulae. Its description in RNAcentral is "partial large subunit ribosomal RNA". Lineage: Eukaryota; Fungi; Blastocladiomycota; Blastocladiomycetes; Blastocladiales; Catenariaceae. The record is from RNAcentral.